This 2316-nucleotide ribosomal RNA is filed under the name human gut metagenome. RNAcentral describes it as "bacterial LSU rRNA". It matches the Rfam family "Bacterial large subunit ribosomal RNA", at positions 497 to 2822 of the family's 2925-position model. The record is from RNAcentral.
AGUACCGUGAGGGAAAGGUGAAAAGAACCCCGGGAGGGGAGUGAAAUAGAACCUGAAACCAUGUGCCUACAACCGAUCAAAGCACCUUAUGUGUGUGAUGAUGUGCUUUUUGUAGAACGAGCCAACGAGUUACGGUAUGUAGCGAGGUUAAGUACUUAAGGUACGGAGCCGAAGGGAAACCGAGUCUUAAUAGGGCGACUAGUUGCAUGCUGUAGACCCGAAACCGGGUGACCUAUCCAUGGCCAGGUUGAAGCGAGGGUAAAACCUCGUGGAGGACCGAACCACGUUGCUGUUGAAAAAGCAUGGGAUGAGCUGUGGAUAGCGGAGAAAUUCCAAUCGAACUCGGAUAUAGCUGGUUCUCCUCGAAAUAGCUUUAGGGCUAGCGUCGUGAAAUGUGAGUACUGGAGGUAGAGCACUGAAUAGGCUAGGGGGCAUAGCGCUUACCGAACCUUAUCAAACUCCGAAUGCCAGAUACUAUCAGCACGGCAGUCAGACUAUGAAAGAUAAGUUCCAUGGUCAAAAGGGAAACAGCCCAGAUCGUCAGCUAAGGUCCCAAAGUGUAAGUUAAGUGGAAAAGGAUGUGGGAUUUCUAAGACAACUAGGAUGUUGGCUUAGAAGCAGCCACUCAUUAAAAGAGUGCGUAAUAGCUCACUAGUCAAGAGAUCCUGCGCCGAAAAUGUCCGGGGCUCAAACUUACCACCGAAGCUACGGGUUCAUACUUUGUAUGAGCGGUAGAGGAGCGUCGUAAUCGGGCUGAAGUCGUACCGUAAGGAGCGGUGGACUGAUUACGAGUGAGAAUGUUGGCAUUAGUAGCGAGAUGUAGGUGAGAAUCCUACAGGCCGAAUAUCUAAGGUUUCCUGAGUAAAGUUUGUCUUCUCAGGGUUAGUCGGGACCUAAGGCGAGGCCGAGAGGCGUAGUCGAUGGACAAUUGGUUGAUAUUCCAAUACCACUAUAAUCGUUAUUAUCGAUGGUGUGACGGAGAAGGAUAGGAUGUGCCAGCUAUUGGAUGCUGGUCUAAGCGUUGAGGGAGUUAGAACAGGCAAAUCCGUUCUAACAAUCCUAGGGCGUGAUGGGGAAGGUUCUACGGAACCGAAGUAUCUGAUUUCAUGCUUCCAAGAAAAGCAUCUAGAAAGAGAAGUAGUGCCCGUACCGCAAACCGACACAGGUAGAUGAGGAGAGAAUCCUAAGGCCGACGGAAGAAUCACAGUUAAGGAACUAGGCAAAUUGACCCCGUAACUUCGGGAGAAGGGGUGCCUACCAUUUGGUAGGCCGCAGAGAAUAGGCACAAGCAACUGUUUAACAAAAACACAGGUCUCUGCUAAAGCGUAAGCUGAUGUAUAGGGGCUGACGCCUGCCCGGUGCUGGAAGGUUAAGGGGAACACUUAGCGCAAGCGAAGGUGUGAACUUAAGCCCCAGUAAACGGCGGCCGUAACUAUAACGGUCCUAAGGUAGCGAAAUUCCUUGUCGGGUAAGUUCCGACCCGCACGAAAGGUGUAACGAUUUGGGCACUGUCUCAACAAUGGAUCCGGUGAAAUUGUAGUACUCGUGAAGAUGCGAGUUACCCGCGACAGGACGGAAAGACCCCGUGGAGCUUUACUGCAGGCUGACAUUGGAUUUUGGCAUUGCAUGUACAGGAUAGGUGGGAGACUGAGAAGCCAGGGCGCCAGUUUUGGUGGAGUCACCCUUGGGAUACCACUCUUGUAAUGCUGAAAUUCUAACCUGGUACCAUGAAACUGGUAUAGGGACACUGUCAGUUGGGCAGUUUGACUGGGGCGGUCGCCUCCUAAAAAGUAACGGAGGCGCUCAAAGGUUCCCUCAGCACGGUCGGAAAUCGUGCGAAGAGUGUAAAGGCAAAAGGGAGCUUAACUGCGACACCAACAAGUGGAGCAGAAACGAAAGUUGGACUUAGUGAUCCGGUGGUUCCGAGUGGAAGGGCCAUCGCUCAACGGAUAAAAGCUACCCCGGGGAUAACAGGCUUAUCUCCCCCAAGAGUCCACAUCGACGGGGAGGUUUGGCACCUCGAUGUCGGCUCGUCUCAUCCUGGGGCUGGAGUAGGUCCCAAGGGUUGGGCUGUUCGCCCAUUAAAGAGGCACGCGAGCUGGGUUCAGAACGUCGUGAGACAGUUCGGUCCCUAUCCGUCGUGGGCGUAGGAAAUUUGAGAGGAGCUGUCCUUAGUACGAGAGGACCGGGAUGGACAGACCGCUGGUGUAUCAGUUGUCAUGCCAAUGGCACGGCUGAGUAGCUAUGUCUGGAAGGGAUAAGUGCUGAAGGCAUCUAAGCACGAAGCCCCCCUCAAGAUGAGAUUUCCCACUUUUU